RNAcentral lists this long non-coding RNA (890 nucleotides) under Ananas comosus (pineapple). RNAcentral describes it as "long non-coding RNA (ACOM_LNC000352)". Lineage: Eukaryota; Viridiplantae; Streptophyta; Magnoliopsida; Poales; Bromeliaceae. The record is from RNAcentral.
GUAAGAUACUUGAACUAGGCUGAAAUACUAUUAAUAACACCAAUAAUAUAGUGCUAUUAAGUUUUCCACUACUGGAUUAAAAGAUCUGCGGUUAGAAUGAUAUAAGCCUCCUAGGGUUGAGUGGGUAGUUGGUUGAAUAGUAUAAUCUAACGAGUAAAAAUAAUUAAAGGGUUUAAUCUAACGGUAGAAAACUUGAUAGCACUAAAUGCUUGAUACCAUCGAUAGCAUAGCAGCCGUACUCAAGAUAUUUAGUAUUAUUAAUAAAAUAUAUAUUAAAGUUGGCGCUCAAGCAGAUAGAGAUUUUUUUUUUAAUUUUCGGAUGGCACCAUAGGAUUCAUUAAGUAAUAUCCUACUCAGUAUGAUCCAUAAAUAUGAUAUUAUUUAAAAAAAAUGAUAGAAUAUUUUGCAUGGAGCAUUAUGGUUGGAUGCAACUAGGGGUGUCAAAUUACACGCCAAAAACGAACGAGCUGGGCCAACUCGUGUACAGCUCAUUUAAGAAACAAGCUAAACAGGAGCUGGUUAAUUUGUUAAAGUAUCAAGUUAAAAAAUUUAGUUGGUGUUCGGCUUAUUAAUAAAUGAGCUAAACACGAGCUGGCUCACGAGUUGACCAACGAGCAAUAAAUUAAAUGAAUUAGAUUGCAUAUAUAUAAAACAUAAAUUUGUAAAAUCUUCCGCCAUUAGACUUUGAUUUAAUGGCUGAAACUUUACAUAAAUGAGUCUUUUUAUAAUUGAGUUCGGCUUUAUAUUUUUUUGGCUAAAAAUUAAAUAAUAAAAACAUAUAUUAUAUAUAUAAUUAUUUAUUUAUAUAUGUAAAUAUAAAUUAAAUAAAUUAUAUAAAUAUAAAAUAUAUGUAUUCGAGCAGUUAUCGAGCCGAACACGAACGAGCCGAA